Molecule: ribosomal RNA, 491 nt
Filed under: uncultured bacterium
Lineage: Bacteria
Description: bacterial SSU rRNA
Rfam family: Bacterial small subunit ribosomal RNA
Source: RNAcentral
GAUGAACGCUAGCGGCAGGCUUAAUACAUGCAAGUCAAGGGGGUAGCAAUACAACCGGCGCACGGGUGAGUAACACGUACACAACAUACCAUAUACUGAGGUAUAGCUUCGGGAAACUGAAGGUAAUCCCUCAUAGUAUUGUGAAAGGGCAUCUUUUUUACAAUUAAAGUUUCGACGGUAUAUGAUUGGUGUGCGUUUGAUUAGCUAGUUGGUAGGGUAACGGCCUACCAAGGCAACGAUCAAUAGCUGGCGUGAGAGCGCGACCAGCCACACUGGAACUGAGACACGGUCCAGACUCCUACGGGAGGCAGCAGUAGGGAAUAUUGGACAAUGGGCGAAAGCCUGAUCCAGCCAUGCCGCGUGAUAGAUGAAGGCCCUCUGGGUUGUAAAUAUCUUUUAUCUGGGAAGAAACACUUCUAUUCUUAGAAGCUUGACGGUACCAGAGGAAUAAGCACCGGCUAACUCGUGCCAGCAGCCGCGGUAAAGUGACU